Molecule: transfer RNA, 67 nt
Filed under: Canis lupus familiaris (dog)
Lineage: Eukaryota; Metazoa; Chordata; Mammalia; Carnivora; Canidae
Also listed under: 1 other name
Rfam family: tRNA
About the family: Transfer RNA (tRNA) molecules are approximately 80 nucleotides in length. Their secondary structure includes four short double-helical elements and three loops (D, anti-codon, and T loops).
Source: Rfam by way of RNAcentral
GGCAAAAUGGCUGAGAAAAGCAUUAGACUGUAACUCUGAAUACAAAGAUUAAGCUGUCUUUUUGCCA